RNAcentral lists this transfer RNA (74 nucleotides) under Alphaproteobacteria bacterium. RNAcentral describes it as "tRNA-Gln". It matches the Rfam family "tRNA". Rfam says of the family: Transfer RNA (tRNA) molecules are approximately 80 nucleotides in length. Their secondary structure includes four short double-helical elements and three loops (D, anti-codon, and T loops). Further hydrogen bonds mediate the characteristic L-shaped molecular structure. tRNAs have two regions of fundamental functional importance: the anti-codon, which is responsible for specific mRNA codon recognition, and the 3' end, to which the tRNAs corresponding amino acid is attached (by aminoacyl-tRNA synthetases). tRNAs cope with the degeneracy of the genetic code in two manners: having more than one tRNA (with a specific anti-codon) for a particular amino acid; and 'wobble' base-pairing, i.e. permitting non-standard base-pairing at the 3rd anti-codon position. The record is from RNAcentral. Lineage: Bacteria; Pseudomonadati; Pseudomonadota; Alphaproteobacteria.
UGGGGCGUGGCCAAGUGGCAAGGCAACGGGUUUUGAUCCCGUGAUCGCAGGUUCGAAUCCUGCCGCCCCAACCA